This is a long non-coding RNA of Rattus norvegicus (Norway rat), 1759 nucleotides long. Ensembl lists it as uncharacterized. NCBI's taxonomy places the organism in Eukaryota, Metazoa, Chordata, Mammalia, Rodentia, Muridae. The record is from Ensembl.
GUUUUAUUUAGCUCACGUGUAGGAGGCUUAAAAUAUAAGAUCAGCCAGCUCCAUCUGCCCAUCCUCUACUCAAGGCUCCCUCGAUCCUGUCACAACAUGGCAGGGACUCAGAAAGAAAUACCCACAUGCAGAAGAGAUGGCCUCUCUUCAUAAAAAUGCACUCUGAAGAGCAGUGACCACCCCCAACCAGGAGACAACAGUAAUCUGUUCAGAGGUAGUGUCCACAAUGAUCUGAUUUCCUCACAAUGGGCCUUAUCUCUUUCUUAAAGCUCCCUCCACUUCAGCACUGCCACUCAGAGAAACGAGUCUCCAGUAUAUGAACCUUGGGGCCCACAAGUGAGAAAGAAUCUGUCCUAUGCUGAAAGAAAGGAGAAGUUUACUGAGGACACAUUUAGGAUCACAUCUAGGAAGAAGGGGACAAUUGUGAAGAGGUCUUCCCACUGGCUGCACUGGCCCUAGGCUGCGACUCUGCAACUCUGAAGCCUUCUGGAUUUCGUUACCUGUUAGGCAGAUAGUGACCAACUCCAGGUCAUCUCCAGGCAGAUGCUGAAUACAUAACAGUAUGUGUACUACUGUUGUUCCGGGGAACACCAUGUUAGCCGAUACUGGUGCUAUUCAGACUCUUCGAGCUACAGCUGAUGUUUGGCUUGGGAUCUCCGCAUCUGUUUUCAACCGCUGUUGGAUGAAGCCCCUCAGAAGACAGUUUUGCUAGGCUCCUGAAGAUUUAAAGCCUUCGCUGCUCUGUAGCCAAAAGGUGGAUGCUGCAAUGCGUCAUGGGAAGAUGGCUUAUGGUUCAGAUGAAUUCACCAUAAUCCUGCAGAAACCUUACUCUUUAAUCCUCUAAUGACAAUGUCGCUAAACAGAAGCCACUGCUGCCAUCAUUAAUACAUCCACACAUGACCAAGCUAAGAAAUUCCAUUUGGAAACUUUGCAUCAGAAAAUGUCAGUUCCACUGAAUUUGAAGGAAUUUCUGAUAAGAUUUCCUUGCAAAGGGACCAUCUCUUAAUGGGAUUAGAGGGUCACAGUGGUCCCCCGAGACAGUGUGUUGGAAAACCAUUUUGGAAGAAAACACAACUGGGAGAGAAUGGUAAACAUGGCUGCUAAGAGACAACUUCCGACAUUGCCAUCGAUGCAGGGUGGCUCUAUUUCUGCCUUGACUGCCGAGGGAGUGGGCUGGUAUUUUGAGCACCCUGAUGAAGAAUUAGAGAGAAGUGUUAUUGGAGUGCACAAUGUUGACUUUGUCAUGUGCCCAGGCAUAGGGCAAUCAGACCACAGGGGAAUGGGGAGAGUGAUGGCUACACCCCACUUGCUGUGAGCAUCGACACUCCUAUUGACUCCUGUUGACAUGGUGGGGCUGCAGAGUCAAGUACCCUAACAAGAACAUGUGCUCCAAGCAACUACAUUUGCAAAGACUCAGAACUCUGGCUCAGGCUGGCUCAGGACCUAUGAGAAACAUGGGCCUCUGAAGAGGUGGAGAGACAGUUGGAUUAGAAAUAGCUCAGAUAUUGCCCAGACAGGUGGGCACUCUUGAGACUGCAAGGGAAAAAAAGAAAUAAAUAGCUCAGAUACAUGAAGCCAAAACAUUCCUGCUAAGUAGAAUUACUACAGCUAGGGUAGGAGCUGUGACCUUCCCAAGAGGUCACGAGAAUAUCCUGAAUUCUUUUCCUGGCCUUAAUUGUGUUGUCUUUGUUCAUUUUGAAGUCUCUGUUUAAACAGAGAUAUAAGUAGUGUCACGCAAUAAUAAAUUUCUUCAGCAGGC